GUACACGCUGUGACUAGCAUAUCAAUAAGCGGAGGAAAAGAAACUAACAAGGAUUCCCCUAGUAACGGCGAGUGAAGCGGGAAGAGCUCAAAUUUGAAAUCUUAAAGGGUUUCCCUUUACGAAUUGUAGUUUAAAGAAGUGUUUUCUGUUGAGGUUUUGGUAAAAGUUCUUUGGAAUAGGACAUCAUAGAGGGUGAGAAUCCCGUAUUUGACCUUUACUUUCAACUUUGUGAUACACUUUCAAAGAGUCGGAUUGUUUGGGAAUGCAGUCCAAAAUGGGUGGUAAAUUUCAUCUAAAGCUAAAUAUUGGCGAGAGACCGAUAGCGAACAAGUACCGUGAGGGAAAGAUGAAAAGAACUUUGAAAAGAGAGUUAAACAGUACGUGAAAUUGUCAAAAGGGAAGCGUUUGACACCAGUGUUGUUUUUCUGAAAAUCAAUUAAAGAACUGUUUAUGCUAAGUUGUUUAGACUUUAUCAGCUAACUGUUUAGUUUUGAGCUUUUCUUUAAUGCACUUUUCAGUUAACAAGUCAACAUCAAUUUCUUUUGCUGUAAAAAAGCUUGAGGGAGGUGGCUUGAGAUUCGUCUUAAGUGUUUAUAGCCUCUUGCCUAUGCAGUCGGAGAGAUUGAGGUCUGCAGCGUAGAUCCUUCGGGGCUAAAUGCAUUUGUGCUAAGUUAUAGCAUUUUAUAGACAACUUGUUGACUAUGAUUUGUCUUGUAGCUUACUCGCUUAUGUUAUUUUACCUACGCUUAGGAUGUUGAUAUGCAUGACUGAUAU
This 774-nucleotide ribosomal RNA is filed under the name uncultured Neocallimastigales. RNAcentral describes it as "partial large subunit ribosomal RNA". It matches the Rfam family "Eukaryotic large subunit ribosomal RNA", at positions 22 to 631 of the family's 3401-position model. Lineage: Eukaryota; Fungi; Neocallimastigomycota; Neocallimastigomycetes; Neocallimastigales. The record is from RNAcentral.